UUUGGAUUUCGAAAUUAUGAUUUGUUUGUGUGAAGAGAGGCUACUCCUCUUGCUGGUGCGAUGCCAAAGGGGCUGAGGGAAGGUGGGACGCCUCCCCUUCACGCCAUUUGAAAUUGGGUUGGUUUUGGAUGAGAUUUUCCUAACCAACUCAAGUUUAUCCUUAUCCCUUCCUUUGUUCUCACGCCUCCACCCCUUGUGUGCACCCUCCUUGAGUGCCACAUCAGCAUUUCAGCACCUCCCUCACGCCCAAGACUCCUUUCCCACGUCCUCCUCUAAGUCCUAUUGCCAUUAGGACUCCACAACCCAAUUCAGCCUAAUCAAUUGGUCUAGCCAAUUUCAGCCCCCACUAAAAUUGGUGUCCAAUUUGGUCCAUUGGCUGACCCUCCUUGAACCCA
RNAcentral lists this long non-coding RNA (395 nucleotides) under Phoenix dactylifera (date palm). RNAcentral's name for it is "long non-coding RNA (PDAC_LNC005694)". Lineage: Eukaryota; Viridiplantae; Streptophyta; Magnoliopsida; Arecales; Arecaceae. The record is from RNAcentral.